Non-coding RNA from Felis catus (domestic cat), 73 nucleotides. The record is from Rfam. NCBI's taxonomy places the organism in Eukaryota, Metazoa, Chordata, Mammalia, Carnivora, Felidae.
GUCUGGCUGGCUCAGUUGGUAGAGCGUGUGACUCUUGAUCUCUGGGCUGUGAGUUCAAGCCCCACGUUGGGGG